Molecule: long non-coding RNA, 1176 nt
Organism: Pteropus alecto (black flying fox)
Lineage: Eukaryota; Metazoa; Chordata; Mammalia; Chiroptera; Pteropodidae
Exons: 4
Source: RefSeq, a predicted model, not a curated record
UUCUGUUCACCACAGUAGCAAGAGUUAUCCUUUUGAGAUAAGUUAGGCCAUCACUUUUUGCUCAUAGCCUUUGACUGGAUUUACACCUCACUCCGUAGUCAACAAGGCUCUCUCUCCUUUGCUUCUACUUCUGGGACUUGGUUGGAUCUAUCAUUCCCCCUUGCACAUUCAUUCAAACCAUGUUGGCUUCCCUUCUGUCCUCGGUGCACCAGACACAGUACUUCUGCUCUCUCUGGGACUACUCGACAAAUGACAUUUCCUGACCUCCUUUGCCAUCUGGUUCCAGCCUGAGUUUGGCAGAUGAGAGAUGGGACCUGAGGGUAAAAGUUUAAUUUUCAGACCAGCCAGGGACCCAAAGAGGAUUGAGGAAAACUUUUUCCUGCCCUACAGUUUGAAUUUGGAUUAUAAUUUCAAAAUAUAUAAAAUAUCGGUAACAUUCAGCAUUUUCACAAGAUAAUUUAGUCAUAUCCUGAGUACUCAUCUGGGUGAAUUAGAGGGAAGAAAAGAUACAAAAGGAGAUUGGAGCUUGAUUUGACUUAAGCUUGGAGGCACUUCAUCCCAUCUGCAGCCUCGCUAUUGAAGAGAAAAAUCAUUACCAACAUCUCACAGUGUUGAGAUGUUACAAGAAUUAUAGGAAAGGUCUAGUCCCUUUGUGCUGCCAUAUAUUUACAACAUCUAGUUGGUUAGCCUUAGACAAUUCAAGUCCAUUUUUUCCAGAUUUUAGUAAUAUAUUGAAAAGUUUUUUGACAUUUUAUAAUUUGGAUCUCUAAGCAUUUACUCAUUAGCAUUAGCUGAUUUAAAACAUUGUGACUGGCUCUUGGUUUUCUCAAAAGUACUCUUUUCGGCAUUUCUUAAAAGGCAAUGUGUUGAUAACUUGUAAUUUAGCACAUGUUUAUUGAAGGCUUCCUUGGUGGAGGCGUUGGUAUCAACUGCUGGAUGCUUGAUUUUUGCUUGAUAUUUUAUUAUAAUUGAACUAUGUAAGUGCUACUAAUUUGAAAAGACAUUACUUAAAAGAAAAAUAGUUAAGGAGAGCAAGAGAGUAUAUGAUGCAUAACUGAAUUUGUAAAUGCUUACUAGUGCUGCCCAGGUCAGACUGAAAAGGAGCAGUCCCAAACAGAUAAUUUGCAUCUUUGAGAAUCUCUGUAAAAAGACAAUAAUAUUUUACCCUAAAGCAUU